AGCAGCCGCGGUAAUUCCAGCUCCAAUAGCGUAUAUUAAAGUUGUUGCAGUUAAAAAGCUCGUAGUUGAAUUUUAGGCCUGGCCGGGCGGUCCGUCUUUGGCGGGUACUGUUCUGUGUCGGGUCUUGCCUUCUGGUGAACCGGCAUGUUCUUUAUUGAGUGUACCGGGGAGCCAGGACCAUUACCUUGAAAAAUUAGAGUGUUUAAAGCAGGCAUUUGCUUGAAUAGAUUAGCAUGGAAUAAUAGAAUAGGACGUUGGUUCUAUUUUGUUGGUCUAGGACCACCGUAAUGAUUAAUAGGGAUAGUUGGGGGCAUUAGUAUUCAAUUGUCAGAGGUGAAAUUCUUGGAUUUAUUGAAGACUAACUAUUGCGAAAGCAUUUGCCAAGGAUGUUUUCAUUAAUCAAGAACGAAAGUUAGGGGAUCGAAGACGAUCAGAUACCGUCGUAGUCUUAACCAUAAACUAUGCCGACUAGGAAUCGGGCGACGUUAUUUUCAUGACUCGCUCGGCGCCUUAUGGGAAA
RNAcentral lists this ribosomal RNA (520 nucleotides) under uncultured Archaeospora. RNAcentral's name for it is "SSU rRNA". It matches the Rfam family "Eukaryotic small subunit ribosomal RNA", at positions 569 to 1097 of the family's 1831-position model. The record is from RNAcentral. Lineage: Eukaryota; Fungi; Glomeromycota; Glomeromycetes; Archaeosporales; Archaeosporaceae.